AGGAAUGUAUGCAUUAAGAACGAGUAAAGGAAAUGCCGCAGGAGCUAGUCUGUUUUUACAUGGAAAUCUAUUGAGCCUGAAAUUCUGUUUCUGCAUAUGUAUCAGUUACUUUCUGGCUUCUUGCUAGGAUUUUCAGGCCAGAAGAAGAAGUGGGAAUUUAUUAAGCCUUUUGGCACAAACCGUUCUAGCAGCCUCAGCAAUACUAUAAUCUGGCAUUUCAGGUCCUGUGGGUAUAAAUGUAAAAGUACAAGCCUGCAAUCAUUCAGACCUAGAAGAAAAGCACUUACUUCCCCUGGCUCUCUGCUCCAUGGUGUACUUUUACCUGCAAAGCAAAAAUUGAGUAUAAAUCUUUGUUGAAGGAGGAGAGCCAUUCCCAGUCCCAGUCCCAGUCCCACUGGCUGGUUGAAUCAGAGAGCAAAAGUACAAAAUAGUAUCUGUAUGAGGAAAACUGAGUCCGAGUUUCUGACCCUCUUAUUGUUAUGCCCACGGACCCCAUGAAAGAACUGUUGCAGAGGUAACGUGGCUUCUGCUCAGCCUUAUUAACUCACCGUCUAAUGUUUCCAUCUUGGACUGUUGCUGACUCCUCCACCCUUGUCUUUUUCCUCUUUGGCUCUUUUCUCUCACUCUGCCACUACGGGUGUCAAAGUUUUGGAAUUUGCCACUGGCAAAUUGGUGUUAUCAUCCCGGUGAUGUCAUCAAGGACUCCAUGGCAGGUUUUCAGGCUGCCAGAAAAAGGGUUGAAAAGAAAGAGGGAGGAUCCUCUCCCGAAAGAAAAAGGCAAGGCAACCAUUUUUGGAGCUGAAACAGUUACUGUUAAUUGCUAAAGAAGUUACUUGCUGGGAUCAGCCUUUCCUUAUUUUGGUGCGGCCCUGAAAGGAAUUGAAAGGGACAUUUUUAGAAGAAGAAAAAAAGAAAAAGAAAAAAAAAAAGUGACCCUAUGUGAUGUGAUGGUGUGUUAAUGUCUUUGGUGGAUUAAUGCACUCAUAUAUCAAAUGUUAAACUAGACCGUUGUGGGGUAGAUGAGGCCGAUUGUAGUGGUGGACUAACUCUUCUUAAUCUACAGGCAUGUCUUAGAUACA
Molecule: long non-coding RNA, 1079 nt
Organism: Rosa chinensis
Lineage: Eukaryota; Viridiplantae; Streptophyta; Magnoliopsida; Rosales; Rosaceae
Exons: 2
Source: RefSeq, a predicted model, not a curated record